UAAACUGAAGAGUUUGAUCCUGGCUCAGAUUGAACGCUGGCGGAAUGCUUUACACAUGCAAGUCGAACGAUGAUUUCUAGCUUGCUAGAAUGAUUAGUGGCGAACGGGUGAGUAAUGUAUCGGAACGUAUCCAAUAAUGGGGGAUAACUAAUCGAAAGGUUGGCUAAUACCGCAUACGCCCUACGGGGGAAAGCAGGGGAUCUUCGGACCUUGCGUUAAUGGAGCGGCCGAUAUCUGAUUAGCUAGUUGGUGAGGUAAAAG
This 261-nucleotide ribosomal RNA is filed under the name Methylotenera sp. RNAcentral describes it as "partial 16S ribosomal RNA". It matches the Rfam family "Bacterial small subunit ribosomal RNA", at positions 1 to 263 of the family's 1533-position model. Lineage: Bacteria; Pseudomonadati; Pseudomonadota; Betaproteobacteria; Nitrosomonadales; Methylophilaceae. The record is from RNAcentral.